CCGGAGCUAAUACCGGAUAGUUCCUUGAACCGCAUGGUUCAAGGAUGAAAGACGGUUUCGGCUGUCACUUACAGAUGGACCCGCGGCGCAUUAGCUAGUUGGUGAGGUAACGGCUCACCAAGGCGACGAUGCGUAGCCGACCUGAGAGGGUGAUCGGCCACACUGGGACUGAGACACGGCCCAGACUCCUACGGGAGGCAGCAGUAGGGAAUCUUCCGCAAUGGACGAAAGUCUGACGGAGCAACGCCGCGUGAGUGAUGAAGGUUUUCGGAUCGUAAAGCUCUGUUGUUAGGGAAGAACAAGUGCAAGAGUAACUGCUUGCACCUUGACGGUACCUAACCAGAAAGCCACGGCUAACUACGUGCCAGCAGCCGCGGUAAUACGUAGGUAGCAAGCGUUGUCCGGAAUUAUUGGGCGUAAAGGGCUCGCAGGCGGUUUCUUAAGUCUGAUGUGAAAGCCCCCGGCUCAACCGGGGAGGGUCAUUGGAAACUGGGAAACUUGAGUGCAGAAGAGGAGAGUGGAAUUCCACGUGUAGCGGUGAAAUGCGUNAGANGAUGUAGGAGGAACACCAGUGGCGAAGGCGACUCUCUGGUCUGUAACUGACGCUGAGGAGCGAAAGCGUGGGGAGCGAACAGGAUUAGAUACCCUGGUAGUCCACGCCGUAAACGAUGAGUGCUAAGUGUUAGGGGGUUUCCGCCCCUUAGUGCUGCAGCUAACGCAUUAAGCACUCCGCCUGGGAAGUANCGGUCGCAAGACUGAAACUCAAAGGAAUUGACGGGGGCCCGCACAAGCGGUGGAGCGUGUGGUUUAAUUCGAAGCAACGCGAAGAACCUUACCAGGUCUUGACAUCCUCUGACAACCCUAGAGAUAGGGCUUUCCCUUCGGGGACAGAGUGACAGGUGGUGCAUGGUUGUCGUCAGCUCGUGUCGUGAGAUGUUGGGUUAAGUCCCGCAACGAGCGCAACCCUUGAUCUUAGUUGCCAGCAUUUAGUUGGGCACUCUAAGGUGACUGCCGGUGACAAACCGGAGGAAGGUGGGGAUGACGUCAAAUCAUCAUGCCCCUUAUGACCUGGGCUACACACGUGCUACAAUGGACAGAACAAAGGGCUGCGAGACCGCAAGGUUUAGCCAAUCCCACAAAUCUGUUCUCAGUUCGGAUCGCAGUCUGCAACUCGACUGCGUGAAGCUGGAACCGCUAGUAAUCGCAGAUCAGAAUGCCGCGGUGAAUACGUUCCC
This 1235-nucleotide ribosomal RNA is filed under the name uncultured Bacillus sp. RNAcentral describes it as "bacterial SSU rRNA". It matches the Rfam family "Bacterial small subunit ribosomal RNA", at positions 157 to 1375 of the family's 1533-position model. Lineage: Bacteria; Bacillati; Bacillota; Bacilli; Caryophanales; Bacillaceae. The record is from RNAcentral.